AUUGAACGCUGGCGGCAUGCCUUACACAUGCAAGUCGAACGGCCGCAAGGUGCUGACGAGUGGCGAACGGGUGAGUAAUGCAUCGGAACGUGCCCAGUCGUGGGGAUAACGCAGCGAAAGCUGUGCUAAUACCGCAUACGAUCUAUGGAUGAAAGCGGGGGACCGUAAGGCCUCGCGCGAUUGGAGCGGCCGAUGUCAGAUUAGGUAGUUGGUGGGGUAAAGGCCCACCAAGCCAACGAUCUGUAGCUGGUCUGAGAGGACGACCAGCCACACUGGAACUGAGACACGGUCCAGACUCCUACGGGAGGCAGCAGUGGGGAAUUUUUGGACAAUGGGCGCAAGCCUGAUCCAGCAAUGCCGCGUGCAGGAAGAAGGCCUUCGGGUUGUAAACUGCUUUUGUACGGAACGAAAAGGCUCUGGCUAAUACCCGAGGCUCAUGACGGUACCGUAAGAAUAAGCACCGGCUAACUACGUG
RNAcentral lists this ribosomal RNA (475 nucleotides) under uncultured bacterium. RNAcentral describes it as "bacterial SSU rRNA". It matches the Rfam family "Bacterial small subunit ribosomal RNA", at positions 30 to 507 of the family's 1533-position model. The record is from RNAcentral.